Chenopodium quinoa (quinoa) is the source of this 758-nucleotide long non-coding RNA. RefSeq lists it as uncharacterized. The transcript has 2 exons. The record is from RefSeq and is a predicted model, not a curated record. Lineage: Eukaryota; Viridiplantae; Streptophyta; Magnoliopsida; Caryophyllales; Amaranthaceae.
CAUUAUUAUUUUUUAUUUAUUUUAAAAAAAAUCUAACAUACCAAAAGGCCCAAAAUUCUAACCCAAACUCCUCUUUCCUCUUAAGAUAGCCGUCAUACACUCAUUCCUUCAUAACUUCCCCUCUUCUUUUCCUCUUCUCUCACUUAUUUCCUCCUAUGAGACUCUAACUCCUUUCUCUUCUACCUUCAUCCCUUAAUGUUCUAAAAACUCCAAGCUAAAGCCCGAUUAAACUUCGAGCAUCGUCACUGAUGUUACAAAAUAUGCGGUGUGCAAAAGAUCAAUAUUCUCAAUGUUACAAAGUUGCGGUGUGCGGAAAUUCGUCGUCUUCUUCCUCUGUUUACAACUAGCGGCCUUACCCCAACUCUGAUACAAUUAAUGCGAAAGAUUAAGCCAUUGAAUAUCUGUUUUGCUCUAUAUAUGGUCAUAAGUUGUUGCGGGUUGAUUGGUGUUUAACAUUAUGGAGGCCCUGCGGUGGUUGAGCUUGGUGGAAGCGCUGCGGUGGUUCAGGUUGGUGUUGAAGUGUCGUUCAAGUUGGUGUUGAAGUGUUGCCGGUGGUUCAUGUUGGUGGAAGAGUGGAAGACUGGAAGUGCCGCUGCGGUUGAAUUAGAUUAUUAGGUGGUUUCGAAUUUCAGGGAAAAUCAAGUUAGGUGUUCUUCUGAAGUUGUAAACACAUUAAUAAUUAUUAAGUUAGGUUAGAGAAUUGUAUCAAAAUGUAAUUACAAUAAAGUUUUUUUUUAAUUAAUUUGGCAUCUGACUCA